GACGAACGCUGGCGGCGUGCUUAACACAUGCAAGUCGAACGGAAAGGCCCUGCUUUUGUGGGGUGCUCGAGUGGCGAACGGGUGAGUAACACGUGAGUAACCUGCCCUUGACUUUGGGAUAACUUCAGGAAACUGGGGCUAAUACCGGAUAGGAGCUCCUGCUGCAUGGUGGGGGUUGGAAAGUUUCGGCGGUUGGGGAUGGACUCGCGGCUUAUCAGCUUGUUGGUGGGGUAGUGGCUUACCAAGGCUUUGACGGGUAGCCGGCCUGGGAGGGUGACCGGGCACAUUGGGACUGAGGUACGGCCCAGACUCCUACGGGAGGCAGCAGUGGGGAAUAUUGCACAAUGGGCGGAAGCCUGAUGCAGCAACGCCGCGUGCGGGAUGACGGCCUUCGGGUUGUAAACCGCUUUCGCCUGUGACGAAGCGUGAGUGACGGUAAUGGGUAAAGAAGCACCGGCUAACUACGUG
Molecule: ribosomal RNA, 468 nt
Filed under: uncultured bacterium
Lineage: Bacteria
Description: partial 16S ribosomal RNA
Rfam family: Bacterial small subunit ribosomal RNA
Source: RNAcentral